GAGAGAGGAAACUGUAGGGGGUU
Molecule: non-coding RNA, 23 nt
Filed under: Cricetulus griseus (Chinese hamster)
Lineage: Eukaryota; Metazoa; Chordata; Mammalia; Rodentia; Cricetidae
Source: RNAcentral